CCUACGGGAGGCAGCAGUGGGGGAUAUUGCACAAUGGGGGAAACCCUGAUGCAGCGACGCCGCGUGAGUGAAGAAGUAUUUCGGUAUGUAAAGCUCUAUCAGCAGGGAAGAAAAUGACAGUACCUGACCAAUAAGCCACGGCCAACUCCGUGCCAGCCGCCGCGGUCAUACGUAGGGGGCAAGCGUUAUCCGGAUUUACUGGGUGUAACGGGAGCGUAGACGGGUAUGUAAGUCUGGAGUGAAAGCCCGGGGCCCAACCCCGGGACUGCUUUGGAAACUGUGUAACUGGAGUACGGGAGGGGCAGGCGGAAUUCCUGGUGUAGCGGUGAAAUGCGUAGAUAUCAGGAGGAACACCGGCGGCGAAGGCGGCCUGCUGGACUGAAACUGACGUUGAGGCUCGAAAGCGUGGGGAGCAAACAGGAUUAGAUACCCGAGUAGUC
RNAcentral lists this ribosomal RNA (440 nucleotides) under uncultured bacterium. Its description in RNAcentral is "partial 16S ribosomal RNA". It matches the Rfam family "Bacterial small subunit ribosomal RNA", at positions 338 to 795 of the family's 1533-position model. The record is from RNAcentral.